Non-coding RNA from Paramuricea clavata, 469 nucleotides. The record is from the annotation of a GenBank genome assembly. NCBI's taxonomy places the organism in Eukaryota, Metazoa, Cnidaria, Anthozoa, Malacalcyonacea, Plexauridae.
ACUGACUCUUCCACAGUCCCUCGUUAUAUUUUAGUACGGGAGAAUAUGCCCGUUCGCGGGUUAGGCGUUGACAACACACGUCGGAAAUGCGAGGGACUGUGGAAUCGUGUGUCGAAAAGUUGGCAGAAUAGUCGAAAACUCGGCAAUCGGGCAAAAUUGACAGUUUUCUCAAAUAUGAAUGAAUUUUUGGACGAAAGCGGGACGAUGCAGGCUUUAGAAAACUCUUGGAAGGAUUCGUGUGACGAAUUAGAUGUCUAAAUGGAAAAUUUAUCUCUUUCUGACGUAAAUUACGGUGAGUGCUGAUAGCUUGUUUAUAUGAAAGCCUCGAUGAACGCCAUAUGUUGGCGUAUGUAACAUGGAUUAUAUAAGGAUGUGUAUCUUAAAAAUAUGAACAAUUAGCGACUAGGUAUAUGAUAAUUGUAGUUGAUCAAGAAGUACUUUUGCACACACUUUUUUAGAUAUAGAUGAC